This 90-nucleotide ribosomal RNA is filed under the name Staphylococcus capitis. RNAcentral describes it as "partial 23S ribosomal RNA". It matches the Rfam family "Bacterial large subunit ribosomal RNA", at positions 2723 to 2813 of the family's 2925-position model. The record is from RNAcentral. Lineage: Bacteria; Bacillati; Bacillota; Bacilli; Caryophanales; Staphylococcaceae.
GUACUGCAGGGGGCGGCUGGAUAGCUACGUUCGGACAGGAUAACCGCUGAAAGCAUCUAAGCGGGAAACCUAUUCCAAGACCAGGUUUCU